UCAAAUGAAUGAAGGCAUAGGGUGGAGACCUAGGCAUCUAGAGGCGAUGAAGGGCGCAGAUACCGGCGAUACGCUUCGGGGAGUUGGCAACAAGCAUUGAUCCGAAGAUUCCCGAAUGGGGCAACCUCUUAGAACUACUCGCUGAAUUCAUAGGCGAGUAAGAGAGAACUUAGCGAAUUGAAACAUCUUAGUAGCUAAAGGAAUAGAAAGCAAAAGCGAUUCCCAAAGUAGCGGCGAGCGGAAUGGGAACAGCCUAAACCAACCUAAUAGGUUGGGGUUGUGGGAAAACGUCAAAAAGAUUUUAAGAGAUGCUAAGACGAAGCAGCUGAAUCCUGCACCAAAGAUGGUGAAAGUCCAGUAGUCAACAUCCAAAAUUUUGUUUUAUCCCGAGUAGCAUGGGGCACGUGGAAUCCCGUGUGAAUCAACGAGGACCACCUCGUAAGGCUAAAUACUCCUAGAUGACCGAUAGCGAAAUAGUACAGUGAUGGAAAGUUGAAAGAGAACCCCCUUAAGGGGAGUGAAAUAGAACAUGAAACCCUAUGCUGACAAGCAGUGGGAGGGUUUCUUUGAGAACCUGACCGCGUGCCUGUUGAAGAAUGAGCCGGCGACUUAUAGGGAAUGGCGGGUUAAGGACGUAAAUCCGGAGCCCAAGCGAAAGCGAGUCUGAAUAGGGCGUACAAUGUCAUUCCUUAUGGACCCGAACCUGGAUGAUCUAACCAUGGCCAGGAUGAAGCUUGGGUAACACCAAUUGGAGGUCCGAACCGACCGAUGUUGAAAAAUCGGCGGAUGAGCUGUGGUUAGGGGAGAAAUUCCAAUCGAAUUCAGAGCUAGCUGGUUCUCCCCGAAAUGCGUUGAGGCGCAGCGGUAACGAUGAGCUGUCUAGGGGUAGAGCACUGUUUCGAUACGGGCUGCGAAAGCGGUACCAAGUCGUGGCAAACUCCGAAUACUAGGCAUUGCCUUCCGUAAACCAGUGAGACAGUGGGGGAUAAGCUUCAUUGUCAAGAGGGAAACAGCCCAGAUCACCAGCUAAGGCCCCUAAAUGGCCGCUAAGUGGAAAAGGAUGUGAGAAUGCUGAAACAACCAGGAGGUUUGCUUAGAAGCAGCCACCCUUUAAAGAGUGCGUAAUAGCUCACUGGUAAAGCGUUCUUGCGCCGAUAAUGGCCGGGACUAAGCGGCCUGCCGAAGCUGUGGGAUUUUUCGAGCCCAAACUACGCUCGAGCUACGCUCGUGCGUCAGCAAACGGAUGCUCAGGAAAAAUCGGUAGGGGAGCGUUCUACGUUGGGUGAAGCCCUCGCGUCAGCGUCGGUGGACAGCGUGGAAGUGAGAAUGUCGGCUUGAGUAACGAAAACAUUGGUGAGAAUCCAAUGCUCCGAAAACCUAAGGGUUCCUCCACAAGGUUCGUCCAUGGGGGGUGAGUCAGGUCCUAAGGCGAGGCCGAACGGCGUAGUCGAUGGCAAACAGGUUAAUAUUCCUGUACUCAUUGUUGUGGGGUCCGAGGGACGAAGAAGGCUAAGUCGUAGCUGUGAAUGGAAUGCAGCGGAAGCGUUCGAGGCGUUGAUAGGUUGAAUAAAAACAACUCUAGAGCUAAGGCGUGAUCCCAUUCGCCGGGACUUGUUCCGGCUGGAUGUCGAUGAUGUCAUACUUCCAAGAAAAGCUCGUACACCUAAUACACAACAAUGACCUGUACCAGAAACCGACACAGGUAGGUAGGUAGAGAAUACUAAGGAGCGCGAGAGAACUCUCUCUAAGGAACUCGGCAAACUGGCCCCGUAACUUCGGAAGAAGGGGCGCCUGAGAAAUCAGGUCGCAGUGACCAGGCCCAGGCGACUGUUUAUCAAAAACACAGGUCUCCGCAAAGUCGUAAGACAAUAUAUGGGGGCUGACGCCUGCCCAGUGCCGGAAGGUGAAGGAAGUUGGUUAUUUCUUCGGAGAGAAGCUGACGACCGAAGCCCCGGUGAACGGCGGCUGUAACUAUGACAGUCCUAAGGUAGCGAAAUUCAUUGUCGAGUAAGUUUCGACCUGCACGAAAGGCGUAACGAUCUGGGCGCUGUCUCAGAGAGAGACUCGGUGAAAUAGACUUGUCCGUGAAGAUGCGGACUACUAACAUUUGGACAGAAAGACCCUAUGAAGCUUGACUGUAGUCUGGAAUGGAAUUCGGGCUUUUCUUGCGCAGCCUAGGUGGGAGGCGUUGAAGAUUUCCUUCCGGGGAAAUCAGAGCCAUCAGUGAGAGACCACUCUGGGAAGGCUAGAAUUCUAAUGGCGAUCCUUGAAUCAGGACGCUUGACAGUUUCAGAUGGGCAGUUUCUCUGGGGCGGAGAUCUCCUAAAAGGUAACGGAGGUGCGCAACGGUCCCCUCAGUCUGGACGGAAAUCAGACAGCGAGUGUAAAGGCAAAAGGGGGCUUGACUGUAAGACCUACAAGUCGAACAGGGGCGAAAGCCGGCCUUAGUGAUCCGACGGUGCUGUGUGGAAAGGCCGUCGCUCAACGGAUAAAAGUUACUCUAGGGAUAACAGGCUAAUCUUCUCCAAGAGUUCACAUCGACGAGAAGGUUUGGCACCUCGAUGUCGGCUCAUCACAUCCUGGGGCUGUAGUAGGUCCCAAGGGUUGGGCUGUUCGCCCAUUAAAGUGGUACGUGAGCUGGGUUCAGAACGUCGUGAGACAGUUCGGUCCAUAUCCGAUGUUAGCGUUAGAAUAUUGAGGUCAGUCACUCAUAGUACGAGAGGACCUGUAGUGAUCAUGCCUAUGGUCUAUCAGUUCUUUUUCCAAAGGGAAACGCUGAGUAGCUACGCAUGGAGUGGAUAACCGCUGAAAGCAUCUAAGCGGGAAGCCCAGACCAAGAUGAGUAUUCUCCAUUAAGCCGCAGCAAGACAAGCUGUAGAUAGGUAUCAGGUGUAAGAUUAGCAAUGAUUUCAGCCGAGAUAUACUAAAGGCAGACCGAUUUUGAC
Molecule: ribosomal RNA, 2945 nt
Filed under: Raphidocelis subcapitata
Lineage: Eukaryota; Viridiplantae; Chlorophyta; Chlorophyceae; Sphaeropleales; Selenastraceae
Description: bacterial LSU rRNA
Rfam family: Bacterial large subunit ribosomal RNA
Source: RNAcentral